UACGUAGGGUGCAAGCGUUGUCCGGAAUUAUUGGGCGUAAAGAGCUCGUAGGCGGUUUGUCGCGUCUGCUGUGAAAACUCGGGGCUUAACUCCGGGCCUGCAGUGGGUACGGGCAUACUAGAGUGCGGUAGGGGAGACUGGAAUUCCUGGUGUAGCGGUGAAAUGCGCAGAUAUCAGGAGGAACACCGGUGGCGAAGGCGGGUCUCUGGGCAGUAACUGACGCUGAGGAGCGAAAGCGUGGGGAGCGAACAGG
Molecule: ribosomal RNA, 253 nt
Filed under: uncultured bacterium
Lineage: Bacteria
Description: partial 16S ribosomal RNA
Rfam family: Bacterial small subunit ribosomal RNA
Source: RNAcentral